Molecule: transfer RNA, 62 nt
Filed under: Heterosigma akashiwo
Lineage: Eukaryota; Raphidophyceae; Chattonellales; Chattonellaceae
Source: RNAcentral
CUUUGGUUCAGUUGGUAGAGCGCUCGAAUUGCAUGCGUGAGGUCAUUGGUUCGAUGCCCGGC